GUUUAGAAGGAAACGGAUAGAGCCAAUGACGGUUGAUGGGAUUCAGUUUGUUGGCUAGGACUUGUAUGCACUUGUUGACAGUUAGCANCAGUGUGAAUGAGCUCCAUGCCAAUGAAUGCAUUUCCUGUUGACGCGCGUUGAGGGCUGCGGAAGUGCAAAAUGAAACCUAAGUUGCCGGCCCUGUUCAUGGGGUGUCCCUCUUGGGCGUAGGUU
Molecule: ribosomal RNA, 213 nt
Filed under: Sabatieria mortenseni
Lineage: Eukaryota; Metazoa; Nematoda; Chromadorea; Araeolaimida; Comesomatidae
Description: partial 28S ribosomal RNA
Source: RNAcentral